CUUGUUCUUGAGUUAUUGUUCUUGUCUUUUAUAUUAUUUCAUAACACUUUUAUAAUAUAAGAAAUUAACCGAUGACCAUGAAGAAAAGACUAUUGAAGAAAUAUGGCGAGUCUCUUAAAAUGGAAAGUUGCGGCAUUUCUCAAUGAGUUAAUUACGUCUAUUUUUCUUUGCGAAAUUCAACCGCUACUGAACAAAGACCAUGAAACUAACAAAACAAAUCAUGGCCAUCAAAACUAUUCAACAUCUUCUAACUCCAUAUAAGUGCAAAACACUAAAGAUGAAAUUUCAACGGAAAGCAUAUGGGUCUUGUGCAAAUAAGGAUGCUGCCAUUUUAAACAUUUGUACGAAAGAACACAAACUUCUAAGAACAUACUAAAGGAAAUAUGAGACAAAAUCAUGAAUCAAGGUUUCGUUCAUUCAAUAUCCAACACUAGCUUUCUGCUACAUAGUUAGAGGAAUACCUUGAUAGCAGAUAAAUACAAGGAAAGGAUAGCAAUGAAGAAACUGAAAACUCAACAACAACGAUAUCCAGAAAAAGCCCCGAACCAACAACAAAUCGGUAUUACAACCAGCCUAGAAAAUCUCAGCAAGACCAUUUGAAAGCAAGACCUAAAAAACUCAGAAAUUAUCUGCCAGACCUUUCUAUUUUUUUUUUCAAGUUUUGUUUCUCCUUAGUGUAAAUAUGAUAUCCAAGUGUGUUAGAGUGUGUCCAUUUAUAGGAGAAGAACCAAGGCCUUCAUCAUUGAAAAUAUGUCCAAAGGAUAGAUUUUUCACCAAAAAUCUAUCUGAUACUAUUCAAAGGAC
RNAcentral lists this long non-coding RNA (804 nucleotides) under Nicotiana benthamiana. RNAcentral describes it as "long non-coding RNA (NBEN_LNC021433)". Lineage: Eukaryota; Viridiplantae; Streptophyta; Magnoliopsida; Solanales; Solanaceae. The record is from RNAcentral.